GCUUCACUCUACCGUAACACAUUUUGAGCUGCUUACUGACAUCAAUGUGCUUCGUAGCUUGGAACUCAGCAUGGAGGAAUGUGGGAGAUCCAUCAAAGAGUUCUUCAUGAAGAUACCUACAAAUAAGGAAGUUGAGGAUGUGCUCUCCAAUGGUGACAAAAAUGAGAUGGGGCUCCGCAUUCUGCAGCUGCUCAUGGCACACUUUAGAGAAGACCUUACAGGGCUGGUCCGUCUUGCAGAUAUAACCAUUUUUCACUGCAGCUGAUGUUGAGACAACCCUCACGCUUCCUGCAAGUCCUCGCCUGAUACUGCUUGUUUCAGGUGGAACAGGACAAGUCACUAUUGAAAGAUGGAUGAUCUCCCUUGAGGGCCGUGUGAUGUUUGAGGGCAUCACACCAACGUUUUUGCAGCCUUGUUUGCGAUCUUCUACAUGCUCAACCUGCAGUACCAGGAAGAGGCCGUCUGUACUCUAGAAUUCAUUCAGAGGCGCUUCAUCGGUAUAAAUCCGGAGAGAGGCACGAAGGCAGCCCAGGGUAAGGUCGUCUCCAAGAAGUCUGGACGGAUUGUCCAGAAUAAGUCUGCCACGGUAAACACACAUGUGUCCGUCUUAAUAAAGAAACUAAUGGACUUUGAGUGGGACUUCAUUUAGCUUGAACUCAAUCAACACAAAAAGACAAUCAGCACAAAAGCAAUGAAGGAAAGUAAAAGUUUAAAGUAAGAUUUAAUAUUUCAAGAUGUUCAUAUAAGGUUCAGAAGUUAAACAUUUCAACUUUUAAACUCUCAGGGUCAACGAUAAACAACGAUUAGAAACCCUUUGUAAAUUAAGAAAAAAUACACUAGAUUUAGAUAUAUUUUAAAGAGAGAUAAUUAGCGUUCAAACAUGCUGCUAUCGAUAACAUUGUUAAAAUGU
Molecule: long non-coding RNA, 910 nt
Organism: Gymnodraco acuticeps
Lineage: Eukaryota; Metazoa; Chordata; Actinopteri; Perciformes; Bathydraconidae
Exons: 4
Source: RefSeq, a predicted model, not a curated record